Long non-coding RNA from Clupea harengus (Atlantic herring), 1209 nucleotides. Lineage: Eukaryota; Metazoa; Chordata; Actinopteri; Clupeiformes; Clupeidae. The record is from Ensembl.
AGUUCAGAAAAUGGUCAGUGUGUGGUGUGGAUGGAUAAAUCUACAGUUUUACAGUGAUUCUCCAACCCCACACCCGUGAUCAUAGUCAAACGGGAUUCCCCCAAAAUGGAGGCAACGCGGCAAUGCGUAAUACUAGACAGGAGACGCACGCACACAUUUCCCUCUCAACCCUCCCUCAUUUUCACUUUGCCUCGUCUAGCAAGCAAGUUAACGAUAGCCCGCUUCACGCUUCCCAUCGCUUGCUUUAGUCGCUAUUGUAGCAUUUCAUGCCUUAGGUUCAAUGCUUGUAUGCAUAACCAGUCCUGUUAAAGAAAUAUUAUGAAAAGUUUAGUUUGUAUGCUUAGGCGCCAGUGUACAUUCAUCCACUCGCGUGACGUGUCGAAAAUAGUAAAUGAUUUCUCGUGCUUGUAGGAGAGAAUGACUUAAGAAUACGUCCGGGAAGCCGAUUAUUUAUCACAAAGUCUGAUGAAACAGCUGUCUGGUCAGUGCAUGCCUUUGUUCUCUUGUCUGAAGGUGGGUGUAUUAAUUCACUUUCCAUUCCCUUCUCUCUCUCUCUCUCUGUCUCUCUCUCUCUCUCCUCCCUCACUCUCUGUCUCUCUCCUCCCUCCCUCUCUCUCUCUCUCUCUCUCUCUCCUCCCUCACUGCAGUGCACUCCUCCUGGGCUGGCUCUCUGCACCCUCAUACGCACGAACCCCCCACCACUCCCUCCGUCUGUGUCUGUCGCCAUGAGAUACAAGCACUGAUCAUAUCUGCUCCGAUCACCCUUCUCUCUCUCUCUCUCUCUCUCUCUCUCUCUCUCUUUCUUUCUCUCUCUCUCUCUCUCUCUCUCUGUCUCUCUCUCUCUCUUUCUCUCUCUGUCUCUCUCUCUCUCUCUCUCUCUGUCUCUCUCUCUUUCUCUCUCUCUCUCUCUGUCUCUCUUUCUCUCUCUCUCUCUUCAUCUGCUCUUGCUCUUUUCUUGUUUAUAUUAAUUGAUAGGUGGCUAAGUGCUAUUUGACCUCCCUGCUCUUUUCCCUGGCAUUGCUUAAAACCUUAGUGUUUAAAGGGUGGUGGGCAAUCUGAUGGGUCAUUGUGUUUAGAGGGUAGUGGGCAAUCUGAUGGGUCAUUGUGUUUUCAGUUUGUAAUUUGUGGUCAGCAUCGAGUCAUGCUGUGCUCACAUUCGUUAGGCUGCAUGUCUGAUGUCAGACUCAUGACAUACAUGUUUACAAAGAC